ACAAGUUCUUCUUCAAUUCUUCUUAAUUUCGUGUUUUCGGAUCUUUGGCAUACAAAUUUCGACAAGUUCUUCUUUAAUUUCGAAGAGUUCUUCAAUUCCGACAAGUUAUUCUUCAAUUUCGAAGAGUUCUUCAAUUUCGACAAGUUCUUCUUCAAUUUCGAAGAGUUCUUCGAUUUUCAGAUCUGAAGGAGGAAGAGAAGAAAUUGCAGACAAGAUCUUACAUUUCGGUUGUUUCAUUAUUUUCAGAUUUUUAUAUUUCUGUUGUUUAAGCGUAGGAUUUUUUCAGAUUUUUUUAUAUUUCGAUUGUUUUAGGAUUUCGCUGAACACUUCAUAUUAUUCCAGAUUUUUUUCAUUCUAUACUGGAUGUACAAGUGAUAUAAUUUUUUGGUUCGUUUCAUCGACCUCGCUGUAUAAUUUCAUUGUUUAAUUUCAGAUUUUUAUA
This is a long non-coding RNA of Beta vulgaris subsp. vulgaris (sugar beet), 442 nucleotides long. RefSeq lists it as uncharacterized. The record is from RefSeq and is a predicted model, not a curated record. Lineage: Eukaryota; Viridiplantae; Streptophyta; Magnoliopsida; Caryophyllales; Amaranthaceae. The transcript has 2 exons.